Molecule: ribosomal RNA, 602 nt
Filed under: uncultured bacterium
Lineage: Bacteria
Description: bacterial SSU rRNA
Rfam family: Bacterial small subunit ribosomal RNA
Source: RNAcentral
UGCAAGUCGAACGGUAACAUAACUAGCUUGCUAGUUGAUGACGAGUGGCGGACGGGUGAGUAAUGCUUGGGAAUUCGCCUUUAGGUGGGGACAACAGUUGGAAACGACUGCUAAUACCGCAUAAUAGCUACGGCUCAAAGGGGGCUUCGGCUCUCGCCUUUAGAGAAGCCCAAGUGGGAUUAGGUAGUUGGUGAGGUAAAGGCUCACCAAGCCGACGAUCCCUAGCUGGUCUGAGAGGAUGAUCAGCCACACUGGAACUGAGACACGGUCCAGACUCCUACGGGAGGCAGCAGUGGGGAAUAUUGCACAAUGGGCGCAAGCCUGAUGCAGCCAUGCCGCGUGUGUGAAGAAGGCCUUCGGGUUGUAAAGCACUUUCAGCGAGGAGGAAGGUUAAGUAGUUAAUACCUGCUUGAUUUGACGUUACUCGCAGAAGAAGCACCGGCUAACUCCGUGCCAGCAGCCGCGGUAAUACGGAGGGUGCGAGCGUUAAUCGGAAUUACUGGGCGUAAAGCGUACGCAGGCGGCUAAGUAAGUCAGAUGUGAAAGCCCCGGGCUCAACCUGGGAAUUGCAUUUGAAACUGCUUAGCUAGAGUGCGACAGAG